UCACUCUGGCCAAGGAACUCGGCAAAAUAACCCCGUAACUUCGGAAGAAGGGGUGCUCUCUAGGGUGACAUGUUUAACAUAUGAAGCCCCGGGGAGCCGCAGUGAAUUGGUGGUGGCGACUGUUUACUAAAAACAUAGGUCUGUGCGAAGUCCUAAAGACGACGUAUACGGACUGACGCCUGCCCGGUGCUGGAAGGUUAAAAGGAGGAGUCAGCGCAAGCAAAGCUCCGAAUUGAAGCCCCAGUAAACGGCGGCCGUAACUAUAACGGUCCUAAGGUAGCGAAAUUCCUUGUCGGGUAAGUUCCGACCUGCACGAAUGGCGUAACGAUCUCCACACUGUCUCGGCCAGAGACUCGGUGAAAUUGCAGUCGCGGUGAAAAUUCCGUGUACCCGCAGAAAGACGGAAAGACCCUGUGCACCUUUACUAUAGCUUGACAUUGGAUUUUGGACCUACAUGUGUAGGAUAGGUGGGAGGCAGUGAACCAUGCACGCCAGUGUGUGGGGAGCCAACGUUGAAAUACCACCCUUGUAUGUUUAGAUCCUAACGUCCACCAGUAAUCCUGGGGACAGACAGUGUCUGGCGGGUAGUUUGACUGGGGCGGUCGCCUCCUAAAGUGUAACGGAGGCAUGCAAAGGUUCCCUCAGCCUGAUCGGAAACCAGGCGCUGAGUGCAAACGCAUAAGGGAGCUUGACUGUAAGAGAGACAUCUCGAACAGGAACGAAAGUUGGCGUUAGUGAUCCGGUGGUCCCGAAUGGAAGGGCCAUCGCUCAUUGGAUAAAAGGUACGCCGGGGAUAACAGGCUGAUCGCAUCCAAGAGUUCACAUCGACGAUGCGGUUUGGCACCUCGAUGUCGGCUCAUCACAUCCUGGGGCUGGAGCAGGUCCCAAGGGUACGGCUGUUCGCCGUUUAAAGUGGUACGCGAGCUGGGUUUAAAACGUCGUGAGACAGUUUGGUCCCUAUCUUCUGUGGGCGAAGGAGAAUUGAGAGGGCCUGUCCCUAGUACGAGAGGACCGGGAUGGACGCACCCCUGGUGAUCCUGUUGUCGCGCCAGCGGCAUAGCAGGGUAGCUAUGUGCGGAAGGGAUAACCGCUGAAAGCAUCUAAGCGGGAAGCCUGCCUCAAGAUAAGUUCUCCCCUCGAAAGAGCUGAAGGACCCAGAUAGACUAUCUGGUUGAUAGGCUGGAGGUGUAAGCGUGGCGACAUGCUCAGCUGACCAGUACUAAUAGUCCGAGCGGCUUAUUUUU
RNAcentral lists this ribosomal RNA (1244 nucleotides) under human gut metagenome. RNAcentral describes it as "bacterial LSU rRNA". It matches the Rfam family "Bacterial large subunit ribosomal RNA", at positions 1696 to 2925 of the family's 2925-position model. The record is from RNAcentral.